GACGAACGCUGGCGGCGUGCCCAAUACAUGCAAGUCGAACGCUUCUUUCCUCCCGAGUGCUUGCACUCAAUUGGAAAGAGGAGUGGCGGACGGGUGAGUAACACGUGGGUAACCUACCCAUCAGAGGGGGAUAACACUUGGAAACAGGUGCUAAUACCGCAUAACAGUUUAUGCCGCAUGGCAUAAGAGUGAAAGGCGCUUUCGGGUGUCGCUGAUGGAUGGACCCGCGGUGCAUUAGCUAGUUGGUGAGGUAACGGCUCACCAAGGCCACGAUGCAUAGCCGACCUGAGAGGGUGAUCGGCCACACUGGGACUGAGACACGGCCCAGACUCCUACGGGAGGCAGCAGUAGGGAGUCUUCGGCAAUGGACGGAAGUCUGACCGAGCAACGCCGCGUGAGUGAAGAAGGUUUUCGGAUCGUAAAACUCUGUUGUUAGAGAAGAACAAGGACGUUAGUAACUGAACGUCCCCUGACGGUAUCUAACCAGAAAGCCACGGCUAACUACGUGCCAGCCGCCGCAGUAA
RNAcentral lists this ribosomal RNA (524 nucleotides) under uncultured bacterium. RNAcentral describes it as "partial 16S ribosomal RNA". It matches the Rfam family "Bacterial small subunit ribosomal RNA", at positions 28 to 523 of the family's 1533-position model. The record is from RNAcentral.